Molecule: ribosomal RNA, 493 nt
Filed under: Megascolecidae sp. SC201727-04
Lineage: Eukaryota; Metazoa; Annelida; Clitellata; Crassiclitellata; Megascolecidae
Description: partial large subunit ribosomal RNA
Rfam family: Bacterial large subunit ribosomal RNA
Source: RNAcentral
AACAUUGUCUCAUGAAUAAAAUAUGAGAUAGUACCUGCCCAGUGACAUAUUGUUCAACGGCCGCGGUAUCCUAACCGUGCAAAGGUAGCAUAAUCACUUGCCUAUUAAUUGUAGGCUAGAAUGAAGGGGUUAACGAAAUAAAAACUGUCUCAAUUAAUUAACUAAAAAUUAUUUUCUAUCUGAAGAAAGGUAGAUAAACUCGAAGGACAAGAAGACCCUAUAGAGCUUAAUUUUAACUAUAGAUUAAUCCUAUACAAAUAUUCGGUUGGGGCGACCCAGGGCUAAAUAAUCACCCAAUUUAUAAAAGAUAUAUUAAUCAAACAAGUGACCCUCAUAUGAUCACAAGAACAAGCUACCUUAGGGAUAACAGGCUAAUCCCACUUAAGAGUCCUUAUCAACAGUGGGGAUUGGCACCUCGAUGUUGGCUUAGGGUAUCCAUAUAGCGCAAAAGUUAUAUAAAGACGGUUUGUUCAACCGAUGACACCCUACGUGA